This 1515-nucleotide long non-coding RNA is filed under the name Hordeum vulgare. RNAcentral's name for it is "long non-coding RNA (HVUL_LNC006335)". Lineage: Eukaryota; Viridiplantae; Streptophyta; Magnoliopsida; Poales; Poaceae. The record is from RNAcentral.
AAUAAACUAGACUCCUUCAAUUCGUGGCUACAUCAAUCUCAACGCCAACCACAUAGCAUGCAUUUCAUUCAUUAAGGCUACUCCCAAUGCUUCAUCUUAUACAGGUGCUAAGGCUGUCACAUAUGCAAAAAAAUCUGAUGUUGCAAGCUAAUUAAUAGAAGAGAGAUGAGUGUGGUGAUCCAGGAAGAAACAAUGCUAAACGCGUGAACUUAGGUAAAACAAUUAAAUGAAAUAAAUGCAUCAAUGCAUGUACAACUUUAGUUGCAAAAAUAUUAAAUAAGGAGGCUUAGCUAUAAUAAGCUAAGCAACUAUGCAUUGAAGACUUUGGUUGCUAAACUAUUCAACGUGCUUAGCACCUCAUCUUAGCACCAAUUGCAAUGCAUUGGAAGUGACCUAAUAAGAUUCUCAAUCAUUAACUAACAGCCACGUUUCGUUUUUUUUUGUACCUCACACAUGUAUGCAUGCAUCAGCUAGUGUUUUUUCCUUUGAUCUACCAGGCCAUACCGUCUUCCCGGAUCUCUUCUACAUUUCCAGACCAACAACCAGCUCGAUUGGUUUUUCACAUGGUUACGAGAUAUCCUACCUGGAUUUCUCACUAUGCCCCAAACAAAUUGGGUCAGCAGAAAGGAAAAUAAAAGAUUACAUAGCACUGCCCAAACGAGCGAGUUAUGCAUACAUCGGUCUCUAGGUCUAGCUCAAGGAGAAGGGCACAGAAAAGCCACAGAUCAUUGGUGGCCAUUCUGGAUUUGGAACACCUUGCAAGUGGAAACACCGUGUCAUUUAUGUACCUCCAAGGCGAUGUACAGAGUUCCGUCAAGGAUAACGUCGGCUGGCCUUGAAACAUGCUGGAAAGGCCAAGUAAGUGUAGUCGCCGACCCUCGCACCAGCAGGAACCUUUGCCGAGUCUCGAUCUUUUGCAAUCCAACAUAGCCUGCAGUUCCGGGUGUCUCCCAAGCCUACAUUACGAGCGGCCAGCGCAUCUGUGAGACAUUCAUUUUUCAUAUGUGUGUCAAAGCGCUACUAUAUACUACCAGUAUUUAUGUAAAAUAUAGCUGUCUGUGUGCUAGCUUCAUUAGAUUUUGUGGAGAGAAAUGGGUGAAGCAAAGGUGCUAUAUAUUGAGUCACAUAAUAGUACUUCAAAGCAUGAUAGGUUGCUCUCAUAAUGAAAUGGUUGCUCUCAUUAUGAUGGAAUGAGCCAUGAACUAGAGCGUGAUAGGUUGCUUUCACUAUUACAAGACUCGCUUCCUGGUCAUUCAGCCAAAAUUAUAACUAUUAUUUUCUCUCGCAACGGCGCACCUACCCACUUUGUCAGUCAUCUUAGAGCAUGUGAAACCUGGAGAAAUGAAGUAGUUGCCUACUUGUAGUAAUUCCUUGCAGGAGGAUGGAGAACUUGAUUCUUCUUUCUGAAAAUAGUAUAGAUCGUGGAACCUCAUAUGAGGACACAUAUAAUCACCAUCUAUGAACACACAUGCCACAUAUUCAACAACACACCGUGUCCCGUUCACAGAAUAGUGC